This 433-nucleotide ribosomal RNA is filed under the name uncultured bacterium. Its description in RNAcentral is "partial 16S ribosomal RNA". It matches the Rfam family "Bacterial small subunit ribosomal RNA", at positions 29 to 507 of the family's 1533-position model. The record is from RNAcentral.
AACGAACGCUGGCGGCAGGCCUAACACAUGCAAGUCGAGCGAGGACUUCGGUUCUAGCGGCGGACGGGUGAGUAACGCGUGGGAAUGUGCCCUUCUCUACGGAAUAGCCCUGGGAAACUGGGAGUAAUACCGUAUACGCCCUAUCGGGGAAAGAUUUAUCGGAGAAGGAUCAGCCCGCGUUGGAUUAGGUAGUUGGUGGGGUAAUGGCCUACCAAGCCGACGAUCCAUAGCUGGUCUGAGAGGAUGAUCAGCCACACUGGGACUGAGACACGGCCCAGACUCCUACGGGAGGCAGCAGUGGGGAAUCUUAGACAAUGGGGGCAACCCUGAUCUAGCCAUGCCGCGAGAGUGAUGAAGGCCUUAGGGUUGUAAAGCUCUUUCAGCUGGGAAGAUAAUGACGGUACCAGCAGAAGAAGCCCCGGCUAACUCCGUG